RNAcentral lists this ribosomal RNA (2904 nucleotides) under Shigella sonnei. RNAcentral's name for it is "partial 23S ribosomal RNA". It matches the Rfam family "Bacterial large subunit ribosomal RNA". Lineage: Bacteria; Pseudomonadati; Pseudomonadota; Gammaproteobacteria; Enterobacterales; Enterobacteriaceae. The record is from RNAcentral.
GGGUUGUGAGGUUAAGCGACUAAGCGUACACGGUGGAUGCCCUGGCAGUCAGAGGCGAUGAAGGACGUGCUAAUCUGCGAUAAGCGUCGGUAAGGUGAUAUGAACCGUUAUAACCGGCGAUUUCCGAAUGGGGAAACCCAGUGUGAUUCGUCACACUAUCAUUAACUGAAUCCAUAGGUUAAUGAGGCGAACCGGGGGAACUGAAACAUCUAAGUACCCCGAGGAAAAGAAAUCAACCGAGAUUCCCCCAGUAGCGGCGAGCGGACGGGGAGCAGCCCAGAGCCUGAAUCAGUGUGUGUGUUAGUGGAAGCGUCUGGAAAGGCGUGCGAUACAGGGUGACAGCCCCGUACACAAAAAUGCACAUAUUGUGAGCUUGAUGAGUAGGGCGGGACACGUGGUAUCCUGUCUGAAUAUGGGGGGACCAUCCUCCAAGGCUAAAUACUCCUGACUGACCGAUAGUGAACCAGUACCGUGAGGGAAAGGCGAAAAGAACCCCGGCGAGGGGAGUGAAAAAGAACCUGAAACCGUGUACGUACAAGCAGUGGGAGCACGCUUAGGCGUGUGACUGCGUACCUUUUGUAUAAUGGGUCAGCGACUUAUAUUCUGUAGCAAGGUUAACCGAAUAGGGGAGCCGAAGGGAAACCGAGUCUUAACUGGGCGUUAAGUUGCAGGGUAUAGACCCGAAACCCGGUGAUCUAGCCAUGGGCAGGUUGAAGGUUGGGUAACACUAACUGGAGGACCGAACCGACUAAUGUUGAAAAAUUAGCGGAUGACUUGUGGCUGGGGGUGAAAGGCCAAUCAAACCGGGAGAUAGCUGGUUCUCCCCGAAAGCUAUUUAGGUAGCGCCUCGUGAAUUCAUCUCCGGGGGUAGAGCACUGUUUCGGCAAGGGGGUCAUCCCGACUUACCAACCCGAUGCAAACUGCGAAUACCGGAGAAUGUUAUCACGGGAGACACACGGCGGGUGCUAACGUCCGUCGUGAAGAGGGAAACAACCCAGACCGCCAGCUAAGGUCCCAAAGUCAUGGUUAAGUGGGAAACGAUGUGGGAAGGCCCAGACAGCCAGGAUGUUGGCUUAGAAGCAGCCAUCAUUUAAAGAAAGCGUAAUAGCUCACUGGUCGAGUCGGCCUGCGCGGAAGAUGUAACGGGGCUAAACCAUGCACCGAAGCUGCGGCAGCGACGCUUAUGCGUUGUUGGGUAGGGGAGCGUUCUGUAAGCCUGCGAAGGUGUGCUGUGAGGCAUGCUGGAGGUAUCAGAAGUGCGAAUGCUGACAUAAGUAACGAUAAAGCGGGUGAAAAGCCCGCUCGCCGGAAGACCAAGGGUUCCUGUCCAACGUUAAUCGGGGCAGGGUGAGUCGACCCCUAAGGCGAGGCCGAAAGGCGUAGUCGAUGGGAAACAGGUUAAUAUUCCUGUACUUGGUGUUACUGCGAAGGGGGGACGGAGAAGGCUAUGUUGGCCGGGCGACGGUUGUCCCGGUUUAAGCGUGUAGGCUGGUUUUCCAGGCAAAUCCGGAAAAUCAAGGCUGAGGCGUGAUGACGAGGCACUACGGUGCUGAAGCAACAAAUGCCCUGCUUCCAGGAAAAGCCUCUAAGCAUCAGGUAACAUCAAAUCGUACCCCAAACCGACACAGGUGGUCAGGUAGAGAAUACCAAGGCGCUUGAGAGAACUCGGGUGAAGGAACUAGGCAAAAUGGUGCCGUAACUUCGGGAGAAGGCACGCUGAUAUGUAGGUGAAGUCCCUUGCGGAUGGAGCUGAAAUCAGUCGAAGAUACCAGCUGGCUGCAACUGUUUAUUAAAAACACAGCACUGUGCAAACACGAAAGUGGACGUAUACGGUGUGACGCCUGCCCGGUGCCGGAAGGUUAAUUGAUGGGGUCAGCGCAAGCGAAGCUCUUGAUCGAAGCCCCGGUAAACGGCGGCCGUAACUAUAACGGUCCUAAGGUAGCGAAAUUCCUUGUCGGGUAAGUUCCGACCUGCACGAAUGGCGUAAUGAUGGCCAGGCUGUCUCCACCCGAGACUCAGUGAAAUUGAACUCGCUGUGAAGAUGCAGUGUACCCGCGGCAAGACGGAAAGACCCCGUGAACCUUUACUAUAGCUUGACACUGAACAUUGAGCCUUGAUGUGUAGGAUAGGUGGGAGGCUUUGAAGUGUGGACGCCAGUCUGCAUGGAGCCGGCCUUGAAAUACCACCCUUUAAUGUUUGAUGUUCUAACGUGGACCCGUGAUCCGGGUUGCGGACAGUGUCUGGUGGGUAGUUUGACUGGGGCGGUCUCCUCCUAAAGAGUAACGGAGGAGCACGAAGGUUGGCUAAUCCUGGUCGGACAUCAGGAGGUUAGUGCAAUGGCAUAAGCCAGCUUGACUGCGAGCGUGACGGCGCGAGCAGGUGCGAAAGCAGGUCAUAGUGAUCCGGUGGUUCUGAAUGGAAGGGCCAUCGCUCAACGGAUAAAAGGUACUCCGGGGAUAACAGGCUGAUACCGCCCAAGAGUUCAUAUCGACGGCGGUGUUUGGCACCUCGAUGUCGGCUCAUCACAUCCUGGGGCUGAAGUAGGUCCCAAGGGUAUGGCUGUUCGCCAUUUAAAGUGGUACGCGAGCUGGGUUUAGAACGUCGUGAGACAGUUCGGUCCCUAUCUGCCGUGGGCGCUGGAGAACUGAGGGGGGCUGCUCCUAGUACGAGAGGACCGGAGUGGACGCAUCACUGGUGUUCGGGUUGUCAUGCCAAUGGCACUGCCCGGUAGCUAAAUGCGGAAGAGAUAAGUGCUGAAAGCAUCUAAGCACGAAACUUGCCCCGAGAUGAGUUCUCCCUGACCCUUUAAGGGUCCUGAAGGAACGUUGAAGACGACGACGUUGAUAGGCCGGGUGUGUAAGCGCAGCGAUGCGUUGAGCUAACCGGUACUAAUGAACCGUGAGG